RNAcentral lists this ribosomal RNA (665 nucleotides) under uncultured cyanobacterium. Its description in RNAcentral is "partial 16S ribosomal RNA". Lineage: Bacteria; Bacillati; Cyanobacteriota. The record is from RNAcentral.
GACUACAGGGGUAUCUAAUCCCUUUCGCUCCCCUAGCUUUCGUCCCUCAGUGUCAGUGCAGACCCAGCAAGGCGCCUUCGCCACCGAUGUUCUUCCCAAUAUCUACGCAUUUCACCGCUACACUGGGAAUUCCCCUUGCCCCUAUCGCACUCUAGCCACCCAGUUUCAAUUGCCCUUAUAGAGUUAAGCUCUACGCUUUAACAACUGACUUGGAUAACCACCUACGGACGCUUUACGCCCAAUAAUUCCGGAUAGCGCUUGCCUCCUCCGUAUUACCGCGGCUGCUGGCACGGAGUUAGCCGAGGCUGAUUCGAUAGGUACCGUCAUUGUGUUCUUCCCUAUCAAAAGAGGUUUACAACCAGUAGGCCUUCCUCCCUCACGCGGUCUUGCUCCGUCAGGCUUUCGCCCAUUGCGGAAAAUUCCCCACUGCUGCCUCCCGUAGGAGUCUGGGCCGUGUCUCAGUCCCAGUGUGGCUAGUCGUCCUCUCAGACUAGCUACAGAUCAAAGCCUUGGUAGGCUCUUACCCUACCAACUAGCUAAUCUGUAGCGAGCUCAUCUUCAGGUGAUAAAUCUUUCACCCCGAAGGGCACAUGGGGUAUUAGCAGCGGUUUCCCACUGUUGUCCCCCGCCUGAAGGCAGAUUCUCACGCGUUACUCACCCGUCCG